Long non-coding RNA from Capsicum annuum, 2257 nucleotides. RefSeq lists it as uncharacterized. The transcript has 3 exons. NCBI's taxonomy places the organism in Eukaryota, Viridiplantae, Streptophyta, Magnoliopsida, Solanales, Solanaceae. The record is from RefSeq and is a predicted model, not a curated record.
GGAAAAAAGGUUUGGCUUUUAACUUACUCACUUUAUUUCUAUUAAUCUCUCUCUAUAUAUAUAUAUAAAGCUGAAUGUAGAGGAGUCUGAUGUGGCAGUCUGACAAUGCAGGAUUCAUAUUUUUCUUUUUUUCUCAAAUUUUUGGAUUUUUUGCUACAAAAUAAAUCCCUCACUUUAAUCUGUGCAGUUAUAACUUAAUCAUCUUCUAAAACAUUACAGAUCCUUUGAGAAAUAACUUCUGAAGCGUUACAUACCCUUUCAGAAAUAAAACUUCUGAACGAGAUAUCUUCAGCGAUUAGGAUUUCUUAUACAUCUUAAAUUGCACCUCUUUUGCUUCUAAAGGAGAGAUCUUCAGUUAUUAGGAAGACACUAAAACAGCUCCAAGCAGAGAGAAACGAGAGAGACGCAAAGCUCUAUACAACAAGGUUUGCACGCUUGUCAAAUGAGAACUCUUCGGCAGCAAAGGUUGUGAGUCAUAGUACAUCGCCAGACUGAAAAGAAGACUUCACAUGGGCUUUUGAUGUACCACCCAAGGGACAAAAGCUACAUAUCUUGUGCAAAAGCAAGAACACAGUUGGGAAGGUAAGUAGCUUUUUGUUCUGAAUGUCCGAUAUGAACUUUAUAUUUUUUGCCCAAUAAACUUUCAGCUAGAACAUCAGUUUUACCAACUCUGUUUCUUCUUUAUAGCAAAAUGAUGCAUACAGAAAGCAGGAUUUCAUGCUAUUAUAUGUGUGUUGCAUUUGUCAAUAGGAUGACAUAAUAGAAUGGCCACUCCUACAUAAUAGUUAAUAUCAGUCUCAGUAUUUCUGAUGUGUAUACUUUUGUUUCAAACUACUAUCGGGAGGGUAACGAUCCAAAUUGAUAAAGUUGUUGGUGAAGGCAUGUACAUUGGUCUUUUCAUCCUCAGCCAGGACAGCAAUAAGGAUGGCUCAUCCCGGACUUUAGAGAUUGAGAUUACCUGGUCCAGUAGGACGCCUAGCGAUAGUGAGUGAAGGGAAGCAAGACUGAAAUAAUGCAAACUUGAGGACCCAAAGGUGGAACUGGACCUGGUAAAGAACAAUCUCUUCAUAGUCCAGCCUAAUGCAAGAGUUGUUGGGGGAAGUCCAAGUUUUGUUUGUAUCUAAAGUGUUGCUACCUGUGGUGUAACUGUAAAAUAGUAAGAUAUUUGCAAGGACAGAAAAGUUGAGAGAGGUUCCCGCGGUACAAGGUGUCUUACACCUAGCUUUUAAGCACCAAAUUGUACAGGUUCUGCAGUUCUUAGAAAAUAACAAUAUCAAAUAGAGUUCACGAUAAGAAGGUUGUAAUGUUUAUUUCAAAUCCCACCUGUAUAUUUGUGAUGCAAAGUAGCAGCAAGUGCCAAAGGUGAUUUCUGUGCAGAAGGGCUGGCAUUAAAGUUCAUUAGUUUUGCUUCAUUCUUUUCCUAUUUACUUCCUUACUCCGUUCAACUCGAUUUCAGGCCAACAAGUGAAGUAGAAUUAAUUUAAUCUGCCUGACAAGAUGAAAAAUAUGCAGCAACAGCUACUACAUAAGCAGCAUCCAGGGAUCCAAACUGCAACUUAUGAGUUGUUACAAUGAGUCCAAUAAUGGCAAUUGGGAAAUGGUUUGAUCAAAUAUGCCAUUGGAAGAAUCCACUUACUACAAUUCUGAUUCACAUACUCUUUAUAAUAUUAGUCCUCUAUCCCGAAUUGAUUGUUCCUACAUUCUUUCUUUACCUUUUCUUGAUUGGUAUUUGGCACUAUAGAUUGAAACCAAGACAUCCACCUUACAUGGACAUCCAUCUAUCACACGCUCACGAUGUUUUCCCUGACGAUUUGGAUGAAGAAUUCGAUAGAUUCCCAACAUCAAGGAGCACGUAUAAGGUGAGGAUGAGAUGUGAUCGUUUGAGGAGCGUUGGCGGCAAGAUACAGACCGUGAUAGGGGACUUGGCGACUCAAGGGGAAAGGUUCCAUUCAUUGUUGAGUUGGAGAGAUCCAAGGGCAUCGGCUUUGUUUGUCACAAUCUGUUUGUUUGCUACAAUAUUACUAUUUUUUUGGUUAACGUUCUUAAUUUAAGUUCAUUAUUAAUUGGCAUUUUAUGAUUUUCAAAUGUCAUCAGAGGAUACUUACUGACUUUUCCUUCUUAACCUUUGUUGUUAUAUCUAAAGUAAAUAGUAAUGUCAUAGUUAAAUAGUUAAUGUACAUUUCUUAAUAGAUAAAACUUAAAUGAACUUUAUUGAUAAUAUGUAAUUAACUAUAAUUACACAAAAUCAUGAAAAUAC